RNAcentral lists this ribosomal RNA (238 nucleotides) under uncultured bacterium. Its description in RNAcentral is "partial 16S ribosomal RNA". It matches the Rfam family "Bacterial small subunit ribosomal RNA", at positions 100 to 334 of the family's 1533-position model. The record is from RNAcentral.
CGGGACGGGUGAGUAACACGUGGGUAACCUGCCUCAAACAGGGGGAUAGCCUUCCGAAAGGAAGAUUAAUACCGCAUAACAUCAAAUUACCGCAUGGUAGUUUGAUCAAAGGAGUAAUUCGGUUUGAGAUGGACCCGCGGCGCAUUAGCUAGUUGGUGAGGUAACGGCUCACCAAGGCGACGAUGCGUAGCCGACCUGAGAGGGUGAUCGGCCACAUUGGAACUGAGAUACGGUCCAA